GUGCUCACUUUGGCAGCACAUACACUAAAAUUAGAAAGAUGCGGAGAGGAUUAGCAUGCCCCCUGCACAAGGAUGACAUGCAAAUUCAUGAAGUGUUCCAUAUUUUU
Small nuclear RNA from Gorilla gorilla gorilla (western lowland gorilla), 107 nucleotides. The record is from Ensembl. Lineage: Eukaryota; Metazoa; Chordata; Mammalia; Primates; Hominidae.